UAGCUAUUCCCAAGGUUCCAGAAAUAAUUGAAGUGUUGAUAGAUCACUUAGAAAGGUUCUACAUUACCAACUUAUAUGAUGGAGGGCUGCAUAAGCACACCAUGAAAAAUGAACAUAAGGAAAAAUAUCAAUUUAAAGUCUGGUUACAGGUCUCCAUUGCUUGUUUUGCCCACAAACCACCAACCAACCCCAGGACAGCCCUUUUGGACUAAGCCCUCCAGCCUCCUGUGCGCUGGCAUUAUAAGCUCCUGAAGACCACACCAGUGAGGGUUUGAGCAGGUUAGGAGAGACACGAGAGGCUGGUAUGCAUAGUAGAUACCUUGUGAAAAAACAUGAGUGCAGCCAUCAGUAAGCCAAGGAGAGAGGCCUGAUGAGAAACCAAAUCUGUCUGCCCCUAGCUCUUGGACUUCUAGCCUCCAGAAUGUGAACAGAUAAAUUUCUCUU
Long non-coding RNA from Mustela erminea (ermine), 444 nucleotides. RefSeq lists it as uncharacterized. The transcript is spliced from 4 exons. The record is from RefSeq and is a predicted model, not a curated record. NCBI's taxonomy places the organism in Eukaryota, Metazoa, Chordata, Mammalia, Carnivora, Mustelidae.